This is a non-coding RNA of Odocoileus virginianus texanus, 1066 nucleotides long. Lineage: Eukaryota; Metazoa; Chordata; Mammalia; Artiodactyla; Cervidae. The record is from RefSeq and is a predicted model, not a curated record.
GGGUGCAGGUGAGGAGGGUGACGUGGACUGGGGGAGCACAUUGAGGCCACCCAAAGCGCAGGAGCUUGAUGCUCUAGGGAUUGCCUUGCUCUCCCAGCCUGGCAGCACCGGUGCCCAUGAAGCCCUGAGUUCUAGAAUUAGAACAUGGCCCUCACCCCAAGGCCUCAAGUAGACAAGGGGCCCCCAGAAAGCAGAGAAGCAGCAACUGUAGAAGUGGCCGGGCGCCGUCAGUGGAGGGUAUUCUGUGGACAGAAACCGGGCGGCUGUUAGGAGCACCCCCCAGCCUCUCGGGACCCGACCUCGCAGUUGGUGCUGGUUGGUCCUUGAGGGCUCAGAUGGCGCGUGAGAGUCUGCACUUUUAGCUUCCAGGCAAUAGAGAUGCUGCUGGUCUGCAGGCCACACUUGGAGAAGCAAGACCUCAAUACAUUUUGACUUCAAACCUUCAUAGCAAUCCUUGAACUGACAGAAACUGGCUCAAAGAAGGGAAGUGACCUCUCAAGUGAGUGAAGUAGUCAGAACACGCGCUUAGAAGACCCUGCAGAUCUCCAUCCAAGCAACUCACUAGCCAAUAAAAAAAGAUUAAUUCAUCUGAUUCAUCAGAGAAAAGGAAAAAUACCAAGUAGACAAAUACUAGAGUCACCCUGCAAUUUAUAAUCAGGACUGUCAGGUGCCCACGGCAAAGUCAUUGGAAUUCCUUCUUCAGAAGAACAGGGAUAAUGAUAGCGACCAUCUUCUACCGAAGUUGUCAAAUAAUCCUAGGAGCUCACAGAAGAAAAGUCCUUUGGAGUCAGCAAAGACCCGUAUAACUUAGUAGGCGGAGCAGACGUCCUGGUUGUUACUGUUACUUUUAUUAAUGCACCAAAAUUUGUUUGUUUACUGUGAAAUUGGUUCAGGAUGAUAGAACCCUUGAUAUCAGAUGUCUCAAUCAAGGAUGCUGAAAAUUCUGUUUCUCUCUUAUAAAAUUGAUAUUGCAUGAAAUUGAUUUAUAAUUAAAAUUAAUUUUUAUUGCAUAACCAGUACACAAGUAUACUUCCUCUGUAAGAAAAUAAAAAUAUUAAAGCCCAAA